This 424-nucleotide ribosomal RNA is filed under the name uncultured bacterium. Its description in RNAcentral is "bacterial SSU rRNA". It matches the Rfam family "Bacterial small subunit ribosomal RNA", at positions 355 to 796 of the family's 1533-position model. The record is from RNAcentral.
UGGGGAAUAUUGGACAAUGGGCGAAAGCCUGAUCCAGCCAUGCCGCGUGAGUGAAGAAGGCCUUAGGGUUGUAAAGCUCUUUCGUUGGGGAAGAUAAUGACGGUACCCAAAGAAGAAGCCCCGGCUAACUUCGUGCCAGCAGCCGCGGUAAUACGAAGGGGGCUAGCGUUGUUCGGAAUUACUGGGCGUAAAGCGCGCGUAGGCGGACGUUUAAGUCAGGGGUGAAAUGCCGGGGCUCAACCCCGGAACUGCCUUUGAUACUGGACGUCUGGAGUUCGGGAGAGGUGAGUGGAAUUCCGAGUGUAGAGGUGAAAUUCGUAGAUAUUCGGAGGAACACCAGAAGCGAAGGCGGCUCACUGGCCCGAUACUGACGCUGAGGCGCGAAAGCGUGGGGAGCAAACAGGAUUAGAUACCCCCGUAGUCC